This is a long non-coding RNA of Gastrolobium bilobum, 823 nucleotides long. RefSeq lists it as uncharacterized. The record is from RefSeq and is a predicted model, not a curated record. NCBI's taxonomy places the organism in Eukaryota, Viridiplantae, Streptophyta, Magnoliopsida, Fabales, Fabaceae. The transcript is spliced from 3 exons.
GGUUGUUUGCUGUGGACAAGUAUUUCCAAUAUUUUCAAGCAUCUUGGCGUGUUACGUGGCGACUACAGCGCCACUCAACGCAUAUGUGACACGUGUCACAACCGGAACAAAAUCACUGGGCUGUUCAACAUUUUUACUGGAGAAACACUUUUUCACAUAUAUGUGGAAUGGCUAGUGCGAUUGGCGACUCAAUAUUAGACACACCGCCACAUAUGACCCGUUGAACAUACCUGAGGACAUCGAGCCGUACUUGAGGCAGAUUGACUAUGCCCUUAUUUCUGCACUUGUCGAGCAUUGGCGGCCUAAGAUGCAGACAUUUCAUAUGGCGCAUGGUGAGAUGAUGAUCACCCUAGAGGAUGUACACCAUAUGUUGGGUUUGCCCAUGAAUGGUGACAUUAUCUCCAGUUGUGUUGGACAAUAUGAUUGGCGACAUGUAAUAUUUGAAAACCUUCGAAUUCAGCUAGAAACAAAUCGUGACAUGACGGGUAGUUAGUGAGCCUUCAGUGGUUGCGUCAGUGCUUUGGUCAUAAUGGUCCAAAUGUUGGGGUGGAGGCACAACACAUUAGGUACACGCGCGCGUUGAUCUUGCACAUCUUAGGAGGAUGGUCGUAUUAGGAGGAACCCGACUGGGGGUUAGAUUUCGAUGUAAUUUCUAGCCAUUUUUGCAUGAUACGAGAUUGUGCGGGGGUGAUCAUUGACCGAGCUAGACAACCUUUGUUAUGUAGAUUUAUUUUUUUAGAUGCUUCAUGGACAUUUUAGACAUAUUAUUUUUUUAGUUAUCGUGGUUAUGUAUGAUGAUGAACUAUGGACAUUUUGAUAUAAU